This is a long non-coding RNA of Homo sapiens (human), 887 nucleotides long. RefSeq lists it as uncharacterized. The record is from RefSeq and is a predicted model, not a curated record. The transcript has 3 exons. NCBI's taxonomy places the organism in Eukaryota, Metazoa, Chordata, Mammalia, Primates, Hominidae.
UAAGCCUCUCUAAGAGCACAGGUAUUACUACCUACCUUUGAUUUCAAUAUAUGUUGACUUGAUAAAAUAAAAUUUUCAUUAAUAGAAAAAAAAAGAAAUGUAAUCCUAAAAUGUUCCCCAGUAAUGUGUUGUGAGUAAAUAUAAAGGAGUAUGGUAGAAAGAAAGAAUGAGGUAGAGGAAACAGAGGUAAAUCAGUACAGGUAAGAAAAGUAAAGGAAGACAUGCAUCAAACAAUUCACUCCUAUUACAUGCAUGUAUUCCUGCACAGAGUUAGGUCUUUGGAUCAUAUUGACCAUUGUGGAAUUUAAUUUCUUGGAAGUCUGACAUCAUAGUUUUUAAAGCUGUUUUGUAUUUUUAUUGAUUUAUUAUUUUUCUAUUUUGUUCAUUAUCAGGUCUAUAUUUACAUAUCCAAAUCUAGCAGCCAACAUUUUUGGAUUUCAGAAUGCCUUCAGAAGCCUGAGGCUUGAAAGCACUUGCCAUAGUCAACAACUUAUAAAAAUAAUACAGCCUUCAGAUCUCUGCAAAGUCACAAUAGAUGAAAUAUGUUUACACUGGAAACAGAAAAUCAUGCUAUGGUCCAGAUUCUUCUGGGAUCAAUGAAGGAUCUCUCAUCCAUUCUCAUGAUUCUGAUACAUCUAAUUCACAUAAGUCUCCAAGUGCUACAUAUCCUAUGACAUCGUGAAUGUUAUGGAAGACUACAGAGGUGAAAUGUCAUUUUCAUCACAUCUUAUCAAGCAUAUAAACUAUUCACUUGUUGUGUCACACCUGAAUUAUCACUUUUGUCAAGUUUCCCCACUGUAAAGUUCUUUUUGUUCCUCUUUCCAUUAUAUGAUCUCUGGAAGGGAAUCACUAUGUGACUUCUAAUGGUUCCUAGAAAAUUUGUUGUU